CGAAGGGGGCGAGCGUUAUUCGGAAUCACUGGGCGUAAAGCGUGCGUAGGCUGUCUUACAAGUUGGGAGUGAAAGCCCAGGGCUCAACCCUGGAAUUGCUCUCAAAACUGUAAGACUCGAAUCUCGGAGAGGAUAGCGGAAUUUCCAGUGUAGUAGUGAAAUACGUAGAUAUUGGAAGGAACACCAGUGGCGUAAGCGGCUAUCUGGACGAGUAUUGACGCUGAGGCACGAAAGCGUGGGGAUCAAACAGGAUUAGAUACCCUGGUAGUCCACGCCGUAAACGAUGUGAGUUUGUCGCCGGGAGGUUUACCUUUCGGUGACGCAGCUAACGCGAUAAACUCACCGCCUGGGAAGUACGGCCGCAAGGUUA
Molecule: ribosomal RNA, 370 nt
Filed under: uncultured organism
Description: bacterial SSU rRNA
Rfam family: Bacterial small subunit ribosomal RNA
Source: RNAcentral